Non-coding RNA from Triticum urartu, 2693 nucleotides. Lineage: Eukaryota; Viridiplantae; Streptophyta; Magnoliopsida; Poales; Poaceae. The record is from RefSeq and is a predicted model, not a curated record.
UAGUACCGGUUCGUGGUACGAACCGGCACUAAAUGGUGAUGGUGGGGCCACAGGCUGACCACAGGCUGACACAGCCUCUUUAGUACCGGUUCGUGGCAUGAACGGUACUAAAGGUUCGCCAUGAACCGGUACUAUUGAUCGCCGCCACGAACCGGCACUAAUGUACACAUUAGUGCCGGCUCUAAUUCAAACCGGCACUAAUGUGCUUCACAUUUGACCCUUUUUCUACUAGUGUUGCCAGGUGUUAAUCAAACAUCAACGAUGCAGACUGCGUCUGUCAUUCCACAAAACACAAUGAAUAAUGGCUUGGCGCAAGGCACUUCACAAGAUGUUUAUGAUGCACAAAGGCAAAUGGCAGGCAGGCAGCAACAACAAUAAUCUCAGCAAUUAAUUUAUCACCAGCAUCAACAGCCUUCUCUGCAGAGUCAGCAGCCCAAUAUUCCUUUACAACAGCAGCAACAACAGUUGAUGGGACAACAGCCAAAUUUACAACAAAAUCAGCUAAUGGGUCAAUAGAAUGGUGCUGUGAUGAUGCGGCAGCAACAGAGGCUAGCAGUUCAGUCAAAUAAUCUUUUGAAUGUGCAGCAAACACAUCAGAUGUUGAGCCAGCAGUAUUUGCCUUUGUAUCAGCCACAACAAUUGGGCUCUCAGGCAAACAUGUCGAGUCUACAGCAGCAUCAACAAAAUCAACAGUAGCAGCAACUUUUUGGAACUGUGCCUAAUGUGUCAAACAUGCAGUGGAUGCAUAUGCAACAAACAAAAGCUCAGCAACCACAUGCUCAGCAGCCACCAAUGGGUUUGAUGCAACCUCAGUUUCAACACAAUCAACUUCAACAAUUGCAACAUCUUAUGCCACAGUUCCAGUCUCAGCCUAACCAACUACAAGAGCAAUUAAGGAUGCAGCAGCAAUCCUCCAUGCAGCAAAGACUUCAAACUUCAGGAGCCAUGCUCUUGCAACAAAAUAACAUGGAUUAGCAAAACCAGUUUAUUCAGGCACAGAGGGGCCUUCAAGAAGUUUCCUCUAGUACAUCUGCGGACUCUACUGCUCAAACAGGCUAUGCAAGUACAGGUGAUUGGCAAGAGGAGAUACAUCAAAUGAUUAAGAGGUUAAAGGACCAAUACUUUGCAGAACUCAGUGAAUUAUUCAAUAAGAUGUGUGUGAAACUACAGCAUGUUGACAGCAUUAUUCCACCUCAAAUAUCAUCUGAGCAGUAUGAUAGAAUGAAGAGCUUUAAAACAAUGUUGGAGCGCAUAUUACAAAUGCUGCAAAUUGGUAAAAGUAGUGUCCAACCUGCUAUGAGGGACAAAGUUCCUCGAUAUGAGAAACAGAUUAUCAGUAUCUUGAACUCACAAAGGAAGCCAGUGCAGCCACAAAUACAACAACAAUUCCAGCCACCUCCAGGUCAAGCUCCUAAUUCUAGCAUUUCACAGCAGCUACAACCUUCCCAAAAUUUGCAGUAGCAUGAUAGUCAUACUAAUACUCAAAAUUUGUUAAGUAUGAGCACCAGAUUACAGUUCUCUAGUGUAGCUGGUAUCCAGCAUGUACCUGUGCCUCGAACAAUCCUUCUGUAGUUUAAACUAGCUUAUCACACUACUGCAGCAAUGCCUACCAGUGGUGGUUGCAAUAAGGCUACCAGUGGUGGGUAGGGCACCUCGCCACGGUAUCCUGACACUGGUAAUAUGUUACCUGUGGCGGGCGUCAUUUCACCCAUGGUUGGCAACCUAUUACCAGUGAGGGCUGGCCUAUUCACCCUUGUAUGUGGCACAUUAGUGGCGGCACGUUCUCCCACCCACCACCGGUAACCUCCCCCUAGGUGAAAAAUGAACGCUGCCACGGCAACGUAAAUCACUACCAUGUCAGAUUUUUUUGCUGUCGUGGCAGCGUUUUUGCACACAUUACAUUAUAUAUGCAUCGCAUUACAUAGAUAAAUUGAUUUAUCACAUUAUACAUGCAUCCAACUACCUAGGAACUAUACUAGAACUAAUUAGAAGUAGGAACUAGGAACUACAUCUUGUAACUAUACUGGGAGCUAUAUACUAGAACUAAUCAGAAUUGCAUAACUAAGAACUAUAUCUUUUAACUAUACUAGAACUAAUUAAUGAGUUGAAUUUAAGAUUUGCGUCAUGAGAAUCAAAUCCCUAGGCCUCGAGAUUGAAUUUCUGAUCAACAGGGAGAAGAGGGAGAGAGCUUACUAUGGUGGCUGAGGCUGAGGCACCCGAUGGCCGAGUUGGGCAGGACCGGGCGGCGGUGAGGGUGGUCCGGGCACGCGUGACUGGCGAGGGUGGCAACCGUGCAAGCAAGGCGAGGGUGAUGGGCAGCUAGGGAUUUGGGCAAAGGAAGAAGGGGAAUUUGGCCAGGUCCCUGUGUGGCCUAGGGUUAAAUGGAAUGAACUUACCGGAGGUGUUGUGGGGGUUGAUUUAAUCAUAAAGUAAUUAAGUGGAAUGAACUUACCGGUGGUUGAAGGGUCUAACAGUUUGGGUAAUAGUAGUUCGGGUAAUAGUAGACAGGACCAGCCAAUGGUUGUUUUCUAAGGCCCACAACAGAUAUUGUUUUUGCAAUUUCCCAUACAAUAUCAUAAAACCAUAAAACGCUAAAACCCAAAAUACCCUAAACCUCUAAAAAUGACAAUAAAUACCUAAAAAUGUACCAGUGGUGGGUGGCAAGAGAGCCUGCAAUUGAUUUGUAAAGUAUC